CUCAGUUCGGAUUGCAGGCUGCAACUCGCCUGCAUGAAGUCGGAAUUGCUAGUAAUCGCGGAUCAGCAUGCCGCGGUGAAUACGUUCCCGGGCCUUGUACACACCGCCCGUCACACCAUGAGAGCCGGUAACACCCGAAGUCAGUAGUCUAACCGCAAGGGGGACGCUGCCGAAGGUGGGGCUGGUGAUUGGGGUGAAGUCGUAACAAGGUACC
Molecule: ribosomal RNA, 214 nt
Filed under: uncultured bacterium
Lineage: Bacteria
Description: partial 16S ribosomal RNA
Rfam family: Bacterial small subunit ribosomal RNA
Source: RNAcentral